This 354-nucleotide ribosomal RNA is filed under the name uncultured soil bacterium. RNAcentral's name for it is "bacterial SSU rRNA". It matches the Rfam family "Bacterial small subunit ribosomal RNA", at positions 26 to 369 of the family's 1533-position model. The record is from RNAcentral.
AGAACGAACGUUAGCGGCGCGCCUAAUACAUGCAAGUCGUGCGAGAAAGGGCUUCGGCCCUGGUACAGCGGCGCACGGGUGAGUAACACGUAGGUAAUCUUCCCUCGAAUGGUGGAUAACCCUCCGAAAGGAGAGCUAAUACAGCAUAAGACCACGACCUCGUUGAGGUUGCGGCCAAAGCAGGCCUCUACUUGUAAGCUUGCGUUUGAGGAUGAGCCUGCGGCCCAUCAGCUAGUUGGUAGGGUAAUGGCCUACCAAGGCAAAGACGGGUAGCUGGUCUGAGAGGAUGAACAGCCACACUGGAACUGAGACACGGUCAGACUCCUACGGGAGCAGCAGUAGGGAAUCUUGCGC